RNAcentral lists this ribosomal RNA (403 nucleotides) under uncultured Petrimonas sp. Its description in RNAcentral is "bacterial SSU rRNA". It matches the Rfam family "Bacterial small subunit ribosomal RNA", at positions 356 to 774 of the family's 1533-position model. The record is from RNAcentral. Lineage: Bacteria; Pseudomonadati; Bacteroidota; Bacteroidia; Bacteroidales; Dysgonomonadaceae.
GGGGAAUAUUGGGCAAUGGACGCAAGUCUGACCCAGCAACGCCGCGUGAAGGAAGAAGGCUUUCGGGUUGUAAACUUCUUUUAAGGGGGAAGAGUAGAAGACGGUACCCCUUGAAUAAGCCACGGCUAACUACGUGCCAGCAGCCGCGGUAAUACGGAGGAUCCGAGCGUUAUCCGGAUUUAUUGGGUUUAAAGGGUGCGCAGGCGGGAUGUUAAGUCGGCGGUGAAAUUUUGCAGCUCAACUGUAAAAGUGCCUUCGAUACUGGCUUUCUUGAGUGUGGAUGAAGUAGGCGGAAUUUGUGGUGUAGCGGUGAAAUGCUUAGAUAUCACGAGGAACUCCGAUUGCGCAGGCAGCUUACUAAACCACUACUGACGCUCAUGCACGAAGGCGUGGGGAUCAAACA